Molecule: unclassified non-coding RNA, 240 nt
Filed under: soil metagenome
Description: partial contains 5.8S ribosomal RNA, internal transcribed spacer 2, and large subunit ribosomal RNA
Source: RNAcentral
AACGCACGAGACCUGCGGACCUGCGGAGGGAUCAUUACAGGACUCGCAAGACUCCUACAACCCUGUGAACUUAACUAUAAGCACGUUGCUUCGGCGGGUGUCUCGGCGAGGGUUCUCCCUCCCCGGGGCGCUAAGCCCGCCGGCAGCCUACUAUACUCUGUCUCUUUGCGUUGGCAUCUCGAGUACAAACAAACAAGUUAAAACUUUUAACAACGGAUCUCUAGAUCGGAAGAGCACACG